AGUGAACGCUGGCGGUAGGCCUAACACAUGCAAGUCGAACGGCAGCACAGUAAGAGCUUGCUCUUACGGGUGGCGAGUGGCGGACGGGUGAGGAAUACAUCGGAAUCUACUUUUUCGUGGGGGAUAACGUAGGGAAACUUACGCUAAUACCGCAUACGACCUACGGGUGAAAGCAGGGGAUCUUCGGACCUUGCGCGAUUGAAUGAGCCGAUGUCGGAUUAGCUAGUUGGCGGGGUAAAGGCCCACCAAGGCGACGAUCCGUAGCUGGUCUGAGAGGAUGAUCAGCCACACUGGAACUGAGACACGGUCCAGACUCCUACGGGAGGCAGCAGUGGGGAAUAUUGGACAAGGGGCGCAAGCCUGAUCCAGCCAUACCGCGUGGGUGAAGAAGGCCUUCGGGUUGGAAAGCCCUUUUGUUGGGAAAGAAAAGCAGCAGGUUAAUACCCCGCUGUUCUGACGGUACCCAAAGAAUAAGCACCGGCUAACUUCG
RNAcentral lists this ribosomal RNA (490 nucleotides) under uncultured bacterium. RNAcentral describes it as "partial 16S ribosomal RNA". It matches the Rfam family "Bacterial small subunit ribosomal RNA", at positions 29 to 505 of the family's 1533-position model. The record is from RNAcentral.